Long non-coding RNA from Etheostoma cragini (Arkansas darter), 195 nucleotides. RefSeq lists it as uncharacterized. Lineage: Eukaryota; Metazoa; Chordata; Actinopteri; Perciformes; Percidae. The transcript has 2 exons. The record is from RefSeq and is a predicted model, not a curated record.
UAGGUUAUUCAUUGAGCACAACUUAAAUCUGGCAUAAUGAAUGAGAUUGAUUUGGAAGAGUAAAUCUGCAAAUAUUUUCAUCUUCUAGCGUACUUUUACUUGUAUGUGAUGUUUAUGAGUUUAUGAGUAUGCUCAGGGAUGGGAGGGUUACUUUAAAAAUGUAUUCAUUCGCAACACUAAUUACCUUUUUAAAAA